AUACGGAGGAUCCGAGCGUUAUCCGGAUUUAUUGGGUUUAAAGGGUGCGCAGGCGGGAGAUUAAGUCGGCGGUGAAAUUUUGCAGCUCAACUGUAAAAGAGCCUUCGAAACUGGUUUCCUUGAGUGUAGAUGAAGUAGGCGGAAUUUGUGGUGUAGCGGUGAAAUGCAUAGAUAUCACGAGGAACUCCGAUUGCGCAGGCAGCUUACUAAACUACUACUGACGCUCAGGCACGAAGGCGUGGGGAUCAAACAGGGUUAGAUACCCUGGUAGUCCACGCAGUAAACGAUGAUUACUAGCUGUUUGCGAUACAAUGUAAGCGGCUGAGCGAAAGCGUUAAGUAAUCCACCUGGGGAGUACGUUCGCAAGAAUGAAACUCAAAGGAAUUGACGGGG
Molecule: ribosomal RNA, 393 nt
Filed under: uncultured bacterium
Lineage: Bacteria
Description: partial 16S ribosomal RNA
Rfam family: Bacterial small subunit ribosomal RNA
Source: RNAcentral